This 253-nucleotide ribosomal RNA is filed under the name uncultured bacterium. Its description in RNAcentral is "partial 16S ribosomal RNA". It matches the Rfam family "Bacterial small subunit ribosomal RNA", at positions 524 to 776 of the family's 1533-position model. The record is from RNAcentral.
UACGAAGGGGGCUAGCGUUGCUCGGAAUCACUGGGCGGAAAGGGUGCGUAGGCGGGGCUUUAAGUCAGGGGUGAAAUCCUGGAGCUCAACUCCAGAACUGCCUUUGAUACUGAGGAUCUUGAGUUCGGGAGAGGUGAGUGGAACUGCGAGUGUAGAGGUGAAAUUCGUAGAUAUUCGCAAGAACACCAGUGGCGAAGGCGGCUCACUGGCCCGAUACUGACGCUGAGGCACGAAAGCGUGGGGAGCAAACAGG